Molecule: ribosomal RNA, 500 nt
Filed under: uncultured bacterium
Lineage: Bacteria
Description: partial 16S ribosomal RNA
Rfam family: Bacterial small subunit ribosomal RNA
Source: RNAcentral
AUUGAACGCUGGCGGCAUGCCUUACACAUGCAAGUCGAACGGCAGCACGGGAGCAAUCCUGGUGGCGAGUGGCGAACGGGUGAGUAAUGUAUCGGAACGUGCCCAGUCGUGGGGGAUAACGUAGCGAAAGCUACGCUAAUACCGCGUACGAUCUAUGGAUGAAAGCGGGGGAUCGCAAGACCUGCCGCGAUUGGAGCGGCCGAUAUCAGAUUAGGUAGUUGGUGGGGUAAAGGCCCACCAAGCCUGCGAUCUGUAGCUGGUCUGAGAGGACGACCAGCCACACUGGAACUGAGACACGGUCCAGACUCCUACGGGAGGCAGCAGUGGGGAAUUUUGGACAAUGGGCGCAAGCCUGAUCCAGCAAUGCCGCGUGCAGGAUGAAGGCCUUCGGGUUGUAAACUGCUUUUGUACGGAACGAAACGGCUUUUUCUAAUACAGAGAGCUAAUGACGGUACCGUAAGAAUAAGCACCGGCUAACUACGUGCCAGCCGCCGCAGUAA